RNAcentral lists this ribosomal RNA (319 nucleotides) under Rhopalurus laticauda. RNAcentral describes it as "partial 16S ribosomal RNA". It matches the Rfam family "Archaeal large subunit ribosomal RNA", at positions 2053 to 2609 of the family's 2987-position model. Lineage: Eukaryota; Metazoa; Arthropoda; Arachnida; Scorpiones; Buthidae. The record is from RNAcentral.
GUAAUUCAAGACCGGAAUGAAAGAGUCCACCAGAAAAGCCUUUUCUUAGUUGACAUAAUUAAAUUUUACCUUUUAGUAAAAAGGCUAAAAUAAUCCUUAAAGACAAGAAGACCCUGUAAAACUUAACAUAAAAAAGUCUCAUAAACUCUAAAUAUGUUCAACUGGGGCGGUAGAAAAAACCAACAUUUUCAAAUCUUUAGAAACCCUUUCUCAUACCCAAAACUUUUGAAAAUCAAACAAGCUACUUCAGGGAUAACAGCGUCAUAUACUUUUAAAGCCCUUAUUGACAAGUAUGAUUGCGACCUCGAUGUUGGAUUAA